RNAcentral lists this ribosomal RNA (293 nucleotides) under uncultured microorganism. RNAcentral describes it as "partial 16S ribosomal RNA". It matches the Rfam family "Bacterial small subunit ribosomal RNA", at positions 505 to 796 of the family's 1533-position model. The record is from RNAcentral.
GUGCUUGCACCCUCUGUAUUACCGAGGGCGCAAGCGUUAAUCGGAAUUACUGGGCGUAAAGCGCGCGUAGGUGGUUUGUUAAGUUGAAUGUGAAAUCCCCGGGCUCAACCUGGGAACUGCAUCCAAAACUGGCAAGCUAGAGUAUGGUAGAGGGUAGUGGAAUUUCCUGUGUAGCGGUGAAAUGCGUAGAUAUAGGAAGGAACACCAGUGGCGAAGGCGACUACCUGGACUGAUGCUGGCACAGAGGGUGCGAAAGCGUGGGGAGCAAACAGGAUUAGAUACCCUGGUAGUCC